GUUAUCUUUUCUCAUCAAGUCUAAGUCCUUACAAGCCCAGGAUUGAUGUCAAGUUGAAGCUUUCUGCUCUUCUUAUGAAAUCCUGACCUCCAUGCCUCAGAUGGGUACAGAUCAAGCAGUGUAUGAAUACAGUGAAGAAAAUCGUGUCAAGAAAUCUGCUAGAUCUAGAUAGGAGAUAUUCGACAUUCAAGACAAAGCCACAAUAAAGCCUUCGGCUUGU
Odocoileus virginianus texanus is the source of this 220-nucleotide non-coding RNA. The record is from RefSeq and is a predicted model, not a curated record. Lineage: Eukaryota; Metazoa; Chordata; Mammalia; Artiodactyla; Cervidae.